Sarcophilus harrisii (Tasmanian devil) is the source of this 576-nucleotide long non-coding RNA. RefSeq lists it as uncharacterized. The transcript is spliced from 4 exons. The record is from RefSeq and is a predicted model, not a curated record. NCBI's taxonomy places the organism in Eukaryota, Metazoa, Chordata, Mammalia, Dasyuromorphia, Dasyuridae.
UUGGUUUGCUAGGAUAUCAUUUAGGUAGAAGGGUUCUAUUGGCUUGAAAAAAAACUUUUCUCUAAAUUUUGUACCCCCAUAUAAGUAGAUGAAGAAGCAAAAGAGAGAAAUGAGUAGAGGAGUUAGAGAGAAGAAAGGCAUAAUAAGGCAAAGGAAUAGAUGGAGCUGAAACAAGUCCAAAUCAGCAGUUGGUGACAGUUGUGUCCAUUCCCUAUAGGAUGUUUAUAGAGCACCCAUAUCUGAUGCAAAAUCCUUGACUUACAAUCUGCUUCUGACCCUAAGGGACUGACAAGGUCUUCAAGGAAAUCACCAAAUCCAGACAAAGUGAGAAGAAAGCCUAAGAACUACGUACUCUACAGAAACAAGGAACCUUGUGACUAUCCUGAGAACUAUAACAGGAAUGCCUGCUUUAUUCUAUUCCAAUAAAUAAAGUCAAGGAUUGCAUCUGUAAUUUCACUGAUAUAAGGAACUCCUUCUUUGGCUGGGAACUGGGGCUAGAGAAGUUGGAUGAUGCGCCAAGUUUCACACAGGUUGUGUCAGAGGGGAAAACUGAAUGUGGAUCUUGGAACCCAAUAC